Molecule: ribosomal RNA, 704 nt
Filed under: Porcellio nasutus
Lineage: Eukaryota; Metazoa; Arthropoda; Malacostraca; Isopoda; Porcellionidae
Description: bacterial SSU rRNA
Rfam family: Eukaryotic small subunit ribosomal RNA
Source: RNAcentral
CAGUCAUAUGCUUGUUUCAAAGAUUAAGCCAUGCAUGUCUAAGUACCUGCCAACCUAAGGUGAAACCGCCGAAUGGCUCAUUAAAUCAGUCAUAAUCUACAGGAUGUUGUUAAAUCCUUACUCGGAUAACUGUGGUAAUUCUAGAGCUAAUACGUGCAAUUAGUCUCCGACCUCGACGUCAGCACGCUUCGGGCGUCUUGUCGCUUCGAGGGAAGGGCGCAUUUAUUAGACCAAAACCGGGUGGACAUACGCGCGUGCGGGUCGAUGGUAAAGCGUGGAGCGUUGUUGUUGUUGUUGUAGUUGUUACAACUACUACUACUACUCCUCCUCCUCCUUUAUUUAUCUCCGCUCGCCGUCCAUGCCUCUUCGGUAACUUGGUGACUCUGGAUAACUAUCGCCGAGCGCUGAGGUCUUCGCACCGGCGCCGUAUCCUCCGAGUGUCUGCCUUAUCAGCUCUCGAUUGUAGGAUAUUUGCCUACAAUGGCUGUAACGGGUAACGGGGAAUCAGGGUUCGAUUCCGGAGAGGGAGCCUGAGAAACGGCUACCACAUCUAAGGAAGGCAGCAGGCGCGCAAAUUACCCAAUCCUGGCUCGGGGAGGUAGUGACGAGAAAUAACGAUAUGGGGUCUCUUCAGAGGCUUCAUAAUCGGAAUGAGUCCGGUGUAAACACGCGAACGAGGAUCCAUUGGAGGGCAAGUCUGGUGC